Molecule: signal recognition particle RNA, 130 nt
Filed under: Oribacterium sp. oral taxon 078 str. F0263
Lineage: Bacteria; Bacillati; Bacillota; Clostridia; Lachnospirales; Lachnospiraceae
Description: Bacterial large signal recognition particle RNA
Rfam family: Bacterial large signal recognition particle RNA
About the family: The signal recognition particle (SRP) is a universally conserved ribonucleoprotein involved in the co-translational targeting of proteins to membranes. Archaeal SRP consists of a 7S RNA and homologues of the eukaryotic SRP19 and SRP54 proteins. In most bacteria, the SRP consists of a 4.5S RNA and the Ffh protein (a homologue of the eukaryotic SRP54 protein).
Source: Rfam by way of RNAcentral
CUUCGGGGCGGCGAUGAAGUCCGGGCCCCACGCAAUGAGAGACCUCGAACCGUGUCAGGAUGGGAACAUAGCAGCACUAAGGGGACACUUUCAUGUGCCGUGGAUUCUCCUGGGCGGAGCCGCCCCGAAG